RNAcentral lists this ribosomal RNA (380 nucleotides) under uncultured organism. RNAcentral describes it as "bacterial SSU rRNA". It matches the Rfam family "Bacterial small subunit ribosomal RNA", at positions 45 to 433 of the family's 1533-position model. The record is from RNAcentral.
CGCCUAACACAUGCCAAGUCGAGCGGUUAGUAUUCUUUAUGGAUGCUAAUAGCGGCGGACGGGUGAGUAACGCGUAGGAAUCUGCCUUAGAGUGGGGGAUAACACGGGGAAACUCGUGCUAAUACCGCAUAUAGCCUGAGGGUGAAAGGGUGCGUAAGCACUUGCUUUAAGAGGAGCCUGCGUUGGAUUAGCUAGUUGGUGGGGUAAAGGCCCACCAAGGCGAUGAUCCAUAGCUGGUCUGAGAGGACGGACAGCCACACUGGGACUGAGACACGGCCCAGACUCCUACGGGAGGCAGCAGUGGGGAAUAUUGGACAAUGGGGGCAACCCUGAUCCAGCGAUGCCGCGUGUGUGAAGAAGCCCUGCGGGUUGUAAAGCCC